Molecule: ribosomal RNA, 253 nt
Filed under: uncultured bacterium
Lineage: Bacteria
Description: partial 16S ribosomal RNA
Rfam family: Bacterial small subunit ribosomal RNA
Source: RNAcentral
UACGGAGGAUGCAAGCGUUAUCCGGAAUCACUGGGCGUAAAGCGCCUGUAGGUGGUUAAAUAAGUCAACUGUUAAAUCUUGAGGCUCAACUUCAAAAUCGCAGUCGAAACUAUUAGACUAGAGUAUAGUAGGGGUAAAGGGAAUUUCCAGUGGAGCGGUGAAAUGCGUAGAGAUUGGAAAGAACACCAAUGGCGAAAGCACUUUACUGGGCUAUUACUGACACUGAGAGACGAAAGCUAGGGUAGCAAAUGGG